UUUUUUUUUAUCAAGAAUCAAUACAACAGAUAUCUUUUUGCUUCUUCCCUUUUCUCUAAUUUUUCCUUUCAAUUCUGUUUCUCUUUUCAACUAAUCUCUCUCUCACAUUAUCUUUUAGAGUUUCAUUUCCACUUCUUUGUGUCAAACCUCUGUUGCAGGUCUGUUUCAGUUGACAUCUUGCAGAAAUAUCAAGAAAAUAUCUUAUUCUUUCCUCUCAAUUUCCCUCUUUUUUCUCCAUUUUUCCUUCUUUUUUUAUUCUCCUGCAUUUAGGAUUUUUUUGCUUUUCCCUUCUUUCUGUCAAUUUUUCUCUUCAAGAAUUGUUAAGGGUAUCCAUGGAACUACAACCUCGGCAAGAAAAGAUCCUAGUGGUUGUGCUUGAAGGUCUCGAGAGAAUACAAGAAAAGUUGUGGAGCACAUUUGAGAAGCUUGACUUCAGUAAACAGAAAAUUGAUAAAGGUUACUUUCUUGGAAAUUCAGACAAGCCAAAUAAAGACCAAGAUGGCUCAAGUGAAGUUUCCCAUAAAAAUUAACAGGGCACUACUAAGAUGGUGCACGAUUUUCUUGCUAAUAUGUCUAGUGUAAGUGAGGACUUUGAGGAUGAGAAUGAUGGAGAUGUAGAAGACAUAAACCCUGAAAUUGAAAUUUCUUGAAAUAGUGGCAGUGAAAUGGGAUUGCUGAUUCAAAAAGGAGAGACAAGGGUUUUUGAUGUUAAGAAGGAGGAUGACCUUCUUGUUGAUGCAACAACUUUUCAUGGUGACGGGGAAGAGGAAGAGGUUGAUAUUAUUGGUAAUGGGGAGGAGAUUGUCCCAGAGCAAUCAAAUCCAGUGGAAAAUGAAGACAUGGCUGAUGGUGAUGCUGUUUUGCCAUUGACAUCAAAUGGUACCGCAUGCUAGGAAUUAUUGGGUACUAGAAUUUGAGUUGUGAUUCAUAUAAAAAUGCUGAAGAAAUAUCUAAUUUGUCUUUCUCAAAGGAAAGGGUUCUGGAAUAUGCAUGUAAUUCCCAUUUUUUUUUUUCUAUGUUAGUGUUAUUCAUAUUGAAGUUGGGAGGGCAAGGCUCCGGCAGGGUACUAACAGGGUUCCUAUAGUUUCUAUUCCCAGAGAUACUCUUGUUGGUAUUCAACAACUCAUUAAUAGGCACUAUCAGGCGUUUGUGGAACAAAAAUUUGAAGAGCAAAUUUCAGGGAACCAUAAGGAUGUUUCUCUUCCUGAGAAUGUUUUGAUUAAAGGAGGAAACAUGGUUUGAAGAAGAAGAAAAAUAAUGGGAUCUUGUUGGUAUUUUAUUUGAGCUGAGAUAAUGUAAUCAUAUGAAAUUCAAAGAGAAUGAGUUUGAAAUCAAGAGAAGACAAAGAAAGAAAAUGUGUGUUUUGAGAUACUGCAAUCAUUUACUACUCAAGAGAAUUGAGUUUGAAAUAAGGAGAAGGCAGAGGAAGAAAAUAAGGCUUUGUUGUAGUUGUUUGUUUACCAAAGGAGACUUAGGUUUUAGUAUGCAAGAUAUUAGUUUUGAGCAUCAAAAUUCAUUUCAGGUCUAUAAUUGCAAUAUGGUUUUAUUGAUUGUUGUUCCUUUCUCCAUUCUUGAGGAUAACAAUGACUUCAAGAAGUGAAGAAUGUUAUGACUGAGGAGAAUAAGGGUGUCAAAAAUAAAUAGAGCGUCUUUGGGGUUGAAAUUGUAAUUAAGUGAAUAUUAUAGAGAGUUGGUAGAGUUAGGAAUAAGUUAGAGAAUGGCGGGAACAGUGACUAGAUAGAUUUUAGCUGUAUAAAUAACAACUAUUGUAAC
Molecule: unclassified non-coding RNA, 1773 nt
Filed under: Hevea brasiliensis (rubber tree)
Lineage: Eukaryota; Viridiplantae; Streptophyta; Magnoliopsida; Malpighiales; Euphorbiaceae
Source: RNAcentral